Molecule: unclassified non-coding RNA, 261 nt
Filed under: uncultured fungus
Lineage: Eukaryota; Fungi
Description: partial contains 5.8S ribosomal RNA, internal transcribed spacer 2, and large subunit ribosomal RNA
Rfam family: 5.8S ribosomal RNA (bases 1-52)
Source: RNAcentral
AACGCACAUUGCGCCCCCUGGUAUUCCGGGGGGCAUGCCUGUCCGAGCGUCAUUGCUGUCCAUCAAGCACGGCUUGUGUGUUGGGCCGCCGUCCCCCCUUCCCGGGGGGGACGGGCCCGAAAGGCAGCGGCGGCACCGUGUCCGGUCCUCGAGCGUAUGGGGCUUUGUCACCCGCUCCGUAGGCCCGGCCGGCGCCCGCCGACCCCUCAACUUCUUAACCAGGUUGACCUCGGAUCAGGUAGGGAUACCCGCUGAACUUAA